RNAcentral lists this ribosomal RNA (3106 nucleotides) under Triticum aestivum (bread wheat). Its description in RNAcentral is "partial small subunit ribosomal RNA". Lineage: Eukaryota; Viridiplantae; Streptophyta; Magnoliopsida; Poales; Poaceae. The record is from RNAcentral.
GCUCUCUCCUCUCUUAUCGCCAAAACCCCCGGCCGGAGCAGCGGCAGCGGCGAGCAAGGCUCACCGGCGCCCCCCCUCCCCCCUCCCUCGACCGCGGGCGCGCGCGGAGAUGCGGCCGUCGCCCAUGGCGGCAAGGGCGGCGAGCGGGUGCUCCUCGGCGGCGCUGGCCUUCUUCCGCAUCCGCCCGCUCGGCCGCGCCGCCCGCCUGGGCCCCGCGGGCCGCUCCGCGUUCGGCGCCACUGCCGCCUGCCGGGGCCGCCUCGUCGACUCCGUCCUCCAGGAGCUCCGGUCCCGGAGGCGGGUCCGGGUCUCCGCAAGGAUAGGAUUGCAGGGCACAAAGGAACUGUCGGAUAGUAAGAUAGAGAAGAGAACAAUACAAAAAGGAUUGCUGCUUGAAUUUCACAAAGACUCUGAGAGAUCCUUGCUCGCUGUUGUCGAAAGGCCUGAUGGGAAGAAAAACUGGGUAGUCACUGACCAGAAUGGUAUCUUAUCUUCUAUAAAGCCCCAGCAGGUGACAUAUGUUGUACCUGGUACCAUGGAUUUUGAUUGUUCAAGAAUAGCUGAAUUUCUCGAGAAAGCGCAAGAUCUCUUGGACCCUACUAUCUUGGAAUGUGCCUGGAUGGAGCUUUCUGAGAAGGACAAAUCAGUAACUGUUGAGGAGUUUGCCGAUAUAGUUUAUGGCAGCAAGGAGUCUCUGGAAAGCUACUGUGCACACUUUUUGUUGUCACGGGAUAUUGUUUAUUUUGUGAAGGUGGAGAGCAGAGGCUCUUCCAUAUACCAGCCUCGCCCAUCUGCUCAGGUGGAUGAACUUUUACGACGGAAGCUUGCUAAAGAGGCCGCCGAUAAGGAACUGGAAGAAUUUGUCCACCUACUCAAGUCUGCUAAAGCAUUGCCUCUAGGCUCUAAGCCUCCAAAAAAUUCAUGGUUGAUGGAAGAGAAAGUGAAACAAAAAAUCGAGUCUCUUCAGGCAUAUGCAGUUGAUGCGUGUAAUGAUGAACAAAGAAGAAUGGCAGGAAAUAUUCUCAAGGCUAUGGGUUUUGCACGGACGUCAUCAGCUGCCCUAAAGCUCCUUAUAAAUGUGGGUUACUUCCCCGUGCAUGUCAAUCUUGAUCUUUUCAGGUAUGAUGUUCAAACCACGUAUACCGAGAAAGUUUUGUCUGUUGCUGAGGAGCUUCUGGUGGAUUGUCCUGAUUCAGAUAAGCAUGUCAGGAAGGAUCUUUCAAAUUUGAGAGUGUAUGCCAUUGAUGUGGAUGAGGCUGAUGAACUUGAUGAUGCAUUAAGUGCAACUAGACUACCUGAUGGUAGGAUAAAGAUCUGGAUACAUGUAGCUGACCCAACAUGCUUUCUUCAACCCCGGAGCAUCCUUGACAGGGAAGCAAUGCACAGAGGAACCUCCAUAUUUUUACCAACUGCCACCUUUCCAAUGUUCCCAGAGAGGCUUGCUAUGAAUGCUAUGAGUUUGCAACAGGGUACAGAUUGUAGAUCUGUAAGCGUAUCUGUGAUUUUGCAUCCAGAUGGAAGUAUUGCAGAAUAUUCGAUAGAGAACUCAGUAAUCAAACCUACCUACAUGUUAACAUAUGAGGGUGCAACUGAAUUGCUGUACAUGAAUCUGGAAGAAGAGGAAGACCUGAGGAUUCUUCAAGAAGCUGCUUCAAUUCGUGCACAAUGGCGUCGUAGCCAGGGUUCAAUCGACACUGCUAUGAUAGAACCUCGUAUCAAGGUGGCAAAUCCUGAUGAUCCUGAACCAAACAUUAAUUUAUAUGUUGAAGAUCAAACCAACCCAGCAAUGCAGCUUGUAUCUGAGAUGAUGAUACUUUGUGGGGAGGCGGUGGCUGCGUUUGGUUCUGACAACAACAUUCCUUUGCCAUACAGAGGGCAUCCCCAGUCUAAUACAGCUGUGUCAGCAUUUGCCUAUCUACCUGAAGGGCCUGCCAGGAGCGUUGCCAAUAUCAGUGUGCUUCGUGCUGCAGAAAUGGAUUUUCGAAAACCUGUCGCACAUGGUGUCCUCGGAAUUCCUGGCUAUGUACAGUUCACCUCCCCUAUUCGAAGAUAUGUCGACCUGCUUGCUCAUUAUCAGGUAAAGGCUUUUCUUAGAGGUGAAUCUCCACCAUAUUCAGCUGGUGAUCUGGAAGGGAUGACAUUUAUUGCGAGCAUGCAUGUUAAAGUAGCUAGGAAGCUCCAUAGCAACAGCUUACGUUACUGGUUGCUGGAGUACUUAAGGAGGCAGCCAAAGGGGAGGAAGUAUAGAGCACUCAUACUUAAGUUCAUCAAGGAUCGCAUGGCAACAUUGCUUUUGGUGGAUGUCGGGAUUCAGGUCACAACUGUGGUUGCAGCCGGGAAGGUGGGAGAUGAAGCAAGUGUCGUUCUGGAAAUGGUUCAUCCCCGCGACGACAUCUUAUCAGUUACGGAGAUUGCACAAGACACGGAGGAGUAAAUGCUCGCAAUGGGUAAUGGACGCUCAUUGCCUCGUUCCCUGGACACUUAGGCGAUUCAUUUUUGGUGCUCAUGAUGGAGGUGAUUCAUUACCUUGGCACUCAGGCGAGGAUCUCCCCUUCAGGACCAUGCUCUCAAGUUCGGUAUCAUGCCUGGGAUUAUGGAAUAGAACGUGUAUGGUCGCCCUGUGAACGUUUGAGCAGGCUAACCGUCUCGCUAAUCCAUUUUUAGGCUGAGGCAGUUCUGAUGAAAGCACAGGUCUGGUUUGGUUGGAUCUCCUUGGGGUCCUUGGGUGUUUAGGUUCGGGUGCUGAGUUCUGGGAGUAAUAGUUUUUUUUUUGUAUAGCUAGCUACACUCAUAUGAUCCGGGGUUUGACGAUCUGCGGACAUGCCAUCUUAUACAUUCAAUCCAUCGCGGUGUAUAUUCGAUCUCAGAUGUAUAUAAUGGAGUUACUUCGUGCACGUGUUUCUUAGAUUUAGUCCAUAUGUGUUUCAUUUGAAGUUACUCUGACCCUCUUGAGAAGGCAUCACCGAAGGUUAACUUAAGAUUAUGGAAUCGCAGAGGACUGGUUGUGCCUGUGCAAACAUUAUGAAGAUGGAAUUUCUGUUUUCCCACAAAAUUUUAGUUCUGUUCUGGAUAUGCCAUAAAAAGAUUAUUUGCCCUGGGAUUUAUC